CCGUAGUGGCGGACGGGUGAGUAACGCGUGGGUAACCUGCCUCAUACAGGGGGAUAACGGUUAGAAAUGACUGCUAAUACCGCAUAAGCGCACAGUACCGCAUGGUACGGUGUGAAAAACUCCGGUGGUAUGAGAUGGACCCGCGUCUGAUUAGCUAGUUGGUGGGGUAACGGCCCACCAAGGCGACGAUCAGUAGCCGACCUGAGAGGGUGAACGGCCACAUUGGGACUGAGACACGGCCCAA
RNAcentral lists this ribosomal RNA (244 nucleotides) under uncultured bacterium. RNAcentral describes it as "partial 16S ribosomal RNA". It matches the Rfam family "Bacterial small subunit ribosomal RNA", at positions 90 to 334 of the family's 1533-position model. The record is from RNAcentral.